GACGAACGCUGGCGGCGUGCCUAAUACAUGCAAGUCGAACGAACUCUGGUAUUGAUUGGUGCUUGCAUCAUGAUUUACAUUUGAGUGAGUGGCGAACUGGUGAGUAACACGUGGGAAACCUGCCCAGAAGCGGGGGAUAACACCUGGAAACAGAUGCUAAUACCGCAUAACAACUUGGACCGCAUGGUCCGAGUUUGAAAGAUGGCUUCGGCUAUCACUUUUGGAUGGUCCCGCGGCGUAUUAGCUAGAUGGUGGGGUAACGGCUCACCAUGGCAAUGAUACGUAGCCGACCUGAGAGGGUAAUCGGCCACAUUGGGACUGAGACACGGCCCAAACUCCUACGGGAGGCAGCAGUAGGGAAUCUUCCACAAUGGACGAAAGUCUGAUGGAGCAACGCCGCGUGAGUGAAGAAGGGUUUCGGCUCGUAAAACUCUGUUGUUAAAGAAGAACAUAUCUGAGAGUAACUGUUCAGGUAUUGACGGUAUUUAACCAGAAAGCCACGGCUAACUACGUGCCAGCAGCCGCGGUAAUACGUAGGUGGCAAGCGUUGUCCGGAUUUAUUGGGCGUAAAGCGAGCGCAGGCGGUUUUUUAAGUCUGAUGUGAAAGCCUUCGGCUCAACCGAAGAAGUGCAUCGGAAACUGGGAAACUUGAGUGCAGAAGAGGACAGUGGAACUCCAUGUGUAGCGGUGAAAUGCGUAGAUAUAUGGAAGAACACCAGUGGCGAAGGCGGCUGUCUGGUCUGUAACUGACGCUGAGGCUCGAAAGUAUGGGUAGCAAACAGGAUUAGAUACCCUGGUAGUCCAUACCGUAAACGAUGAAUGCUAAGUGUUGGAGGGUUUCCGCCCUUCAGUGCUGCAGCUAACGCAUUAAGCAUUCCGCCUGGGGAGUACGGCCGCAAGGCUGAAACUCAAAGGAAUUGACGGGGGCCCACACAAGCGGUGGAGCAUGUGGUUUAAUUCGAAGCUACGCGAAGAACCUUACCAGGUCUUGACAUACUAUGCAAAUCUAAGAGAUUAGACGUUCCCUUCGGGGACAUGGAUACAGGUGGUGCAUGGUUGUCGUCAGCUCGUGUCGUGAGAUGUUGGGUUAAGUCCCGCAACGAGCGCAACCCUUAUUAUCAGUUGCCAGCAUUAAGUUGGGCACUCUGGUGAGACUGCCGGUGACAAACCGGAGGAAGGUGGGGAUGACGUCAAAUCAUCAUGCCCCUUAUGACCUGGGCUACACACGUGCUACAAUGGAUGGUACAACGAGUUGCGAACUCGCGAGAGUAAGCUAAUCUCUUAAAGCCAUUCUCAGUUCGGAUUGUAGGCUGCAACUCGCCUACAUGAAGUCGGAAUCGCUAGUAAUCGCGGAUCAGCAUGCCGCGGUGAAUACGUUCCCGGGCCUUGUACACACCGCCCGUCACACCAUGAGAGUUUGUAACACCCAAAGUCGGUGGGGUAACCUUUUAGGAACCAGCCGCCUAAGGUGGGAUAGAUGAUUAGGGUGAAGUCGUAACAAGGUAGCCGUAG
This 1512-nucleotide ribosomal RNA is filed under the name Lactiplantibacillus pentosus. RNAcentral's name for it is "bacterial SSU rRNA". It matches the Rfam family "Bacterial small subunit ribosomal RNA". Lineage: Bacteria; Bacillati; Bacillota; Bacilli; Lactobacillales; Lactobacillaceae. The record is from RNAcentral.